Molecule: long non-coding RNA, 918 nt
Filed under: Homo sapiens (human)
Lineage: Eukaryota; Metazoa; Chordata; Mammalia; Primates; Hominidae
Description: HSALNT0302881
Source: RNAcentral
AAUUCAAUGAGAAACAAUAUUCAGGUCAGGUCAAAGCCUAGAGAAAAAUGCGCAUUCAGAAGUGGGCUGCCAUCCUGCUUUUUCUGAAGUGAACAGCUGCUGGGUAUUGAAACCAGCCCUCACGGUUGGGUCCCUGCCACCAUGGCAACACUCUGGUUUCUGAGCUGGAGUGGCCAAGGCACAAUGGGGUGGUUCCAUGGCCCAGAAGCACUCUAGCUACAGAUUAGAAUGAUGACAAGAGUAAUACCUUCCUAGUGAAGAUGACUUUUAUUUCAGGACUAUAUUAAGUUUCCCAACUUCUGUCAUGAUAUAGUCCAAAGAGAACCUGGACCACGCAGACAUCAAACAGAACAUGACACUGACCCAUUCUAUCAGUGACGUUGUGCUGAUUGCACAGGACAGAUGAGAGGCUCGUAUACUAGAAGUCUUGUUAUCCACAGAAGGAAUGAUCUGCAAUGUACACACGCCAGGACAGAAAUUCUACAGUUGCUGAUAAAAUGUAAACCUUCACAGGUAUACCUGAUGCUGCCAAUUACUGAGCUUUUUGAAGAUUCUGUGGUUUGAAGCCAGCUUAGGACUCAGCUUUUUUGGCUUGUCCAUCUGCUUUCCAGCUUCCAAAAUUUUGUUGCUCCUUAUCAUCUUUCCUAUACUGAUGAGCUCAGAAAGCUGCUGCUGUUGAUUGUCUGGCCAUGGAAAGAGUUCUCAGUCAAAUGAAAGUCUCUGCCUUGGGAUUUAUUAAACACUUUUAUUCUUUGACUUUUCACACAAAUUUUGCAGCAUCAGGUAUCCCCUCCCCUUCUGCUGUCUGCCAUAGUGGAAACAGCCUGAGGCCCUUGCCAGAUAUAGAUGUUCAAACCUGGACUUUCCAGCCACCAGAAUCGUCAGCCAAAUAAACUUCUUUUCUUUCUAAAUCAUCCA